Molecule: long non-coding RNA, 758 nt
Filed under: Androctonus crassicauda
Lineage: Eukaryota; Metazoa; Arthropoda; Arachnida; Scorpiones; Buthidae
Source: RNAcentral
UGCGGUCUGUACAAACUACGAAACACUAUUAAAUUACAUCGUUUUGUUAGAUUUAGAUGUGACAGUUUUCCAUUAUUUGUGCGAUCUCCGAUAGUUCUGGGCUAUUUGACAGUUAUGAUUAUUUUGCGGUUUAUGUAAAACACCGGAUUUGCACUUCCUGUGAUCGUUUAUAAUGGGAGGCUUUUUAUUGCGUUACUUAAGACGAAAUUUCUUUUCGCAGUUUUGCUUCGCAACUUUAUAUUUUCUUUGUGGAAAACGCUUUUAUUCGGAUGAAAUAACAGCGGAAAAAUUUAGUAUAAAAUUUUUUUUCCGACACGUUCUAGUUGGCAUUUACUUAUACUUGUACUUCAGUCAAAAAUCAUUUAGGAAAAAAUUGCUUAAAAACAUUGAUUGUAAAACUGUUCGCGAACGAUGUGCCUUUCAUUUCUAAGAUAACUGAUUGAGUACAGAAAUGCAUCUGCUACUAGGUAAAUUAUCUUAGAGAAUGAACAGGGAAAGCUGUAGAGCAGAUCUGCAGUUUUAGGCAAACUAUUCGAUUUUUCUAUUGACACACUUAUAAAUCCUUACAUAAUAUUCUCUGUUGGUGGUUGUAACGAAUGUUUGUUUAUAGAUUAUUUUGUUACAUAUUUUUAAUAAAGUUAAUUUUUAGGAAAAUAUUGGAAAAAAAUGAAGUUUGCAAUAGUAGUAAUUUUUUAAUAUUUUUAUUAAUAACCUAAAACUUAAUAUAUUACAUGGCUUAACUAUUAAAUAAUAAAUAG